Long non-coding RNA from Zalophus californianus (California sea lion), 471 nucleotides. RefSeq lists it as uncharacterized. The transcript has 4 exons. The record is from RefSeq and is a predicted model, not a curated record. NCBI's taxonomy places the organism in Eukaryota, Metazoa, Chordata, Mammalia, Carnivora, Otariidae.
AGGCACGAGGUCCAUUACCCUUUAUGUAUCUUCAGCAUGCUUUAGAAUCUGCCUGGGAAACGGCACAUCGCAGCAAGAUAAAUGGAAGAUAAGUCAACAGACCAGAGUGGUGUCCAGAUAAGGAGAAUGAGACACAGAGAGGCAAUGAUUAGGCCAAAGUCACACAGUGUUUCAUGAUUCGAACUCAGACCAUCUGGAACCAGAGCUGGAGCUCGUCAUCACGCACGCGCAAAUAUUAUGAAGAGAUUCACAAAACAACUGUUUCAUCCAAUCAUGGGGUUUGGACUUUUGUGACUCACCUUUCCCCAAAGAUGAACUGAUAAAUCUUGUCUAUUCUUCAUUGAGAGGUGACUUUGUAGGGAUACCUUAUGGAGACUCCGCUUUCUGGUCUCAUUGUGGCAUCAUUUCCCACUAAGUCGGUGCGAACUGGCAGUGCAGAGAAAUACUCCUGUGGCUGUUUCUGGAUUCGAC